Molecule: small RNA, 403 nt
Filed under: Arabidopsis thaliana (thale cress)
Lineage: Eukaryota; Viridiplantae; Streptophyta; Magnoliopsida; Brassicales; Brassicaceae
Description: ATSL098910
Source: RNAcentral
GGGAGGGGUAUGUCGUGUGCAGCUUUCAAAAACACCGAAGUCGACUCUACCACCCCAAAUGAAUGCUAUAGAGAUUUUUAGCGUCAUACAAUUUCCACAAUCGGACACAAAUACGGAUGAAGGUAUGUAGUCCUGUAGUUUUAUGCAGAUAUAAAACAUAUUAAGUUUGCAAUUGUGAGACAACCAUAUUAAAUACUUUAGUCUCUCGCUUGAGAGGAUGUACAGGCUUACGCUCAGAACCUUUUAAUUAUUCAAAAGAAUAAAGUAGUAAUAAAAUAAGGCAUAUUUUAUAAUUGAUUCUUUUGUUUGCCACUUGCCAGUCAUUGCUAUCAAGAACAUUCAAUCUACUUAUAAAGUGAGUAGAAUCAGCUGGCAGGGCGAUCCAUGUGUACCUAUACAGUUU